Molecule: ribosomal RNA, 253 nt
Filed under: uncultured bacterium
Lineage: Bacteria
Description: partial 16S ribosomal RNA
Rfam family: Bacterial small subunit ribosomal RNA
Source: RNAcentral
UACGUAGGUGGCAAGCGUUGUCCGGAUUUACUGGGUGUAAAGGGCGUGCAGCCGGAGAGACAAGUCAGAUGUGAAAUCCACGGGCUCAACUCGUGAACUGCAUUUGAAACUGUUUUUCUUGAGUACUGGAGAGGCAGACGGAAUUCCUCGUGUAGCGGUGAAAUGCGUAGAUAUGAGGAGGAACACCAGUGGCGAAGGCGGUCUGCUGGACAGCAACUGACGCUGAGGCGCGAAAGCGUGGGGAGCAAACAGG